AUACGGAGGGUGCAAGCGUUAUCCGGAUUUACUGGGUUUAAAGGGUGCGUAGGUGGGCAGUUAAGUCAGUGGUGAAAUCUCCGGGCUUAACCCGGAAACUGCCAUUGAUACUAUCUGUCUUGAAUAUUCUGGAGGUAAGCGGAAUAUGUCAUGUAGCGGUGAAAUGCUUAGAUAUGACAUAGAACACCAAUUGCGAAGGCAGCUUACUACGGGAUUAUUGACACUGAGGCACGAAAGCGUGGGGAUCAAACAGGAUUAGAUACCCUGGUAGUCCACGCCCUAAACGAUGGAUACUCGACAUCAGCGAUACACUGUUGGUGUCUGAGCGAAAGCAUUAAGUAUCCCACCUGGGAAGUACGACCGCAAGGUUGAA
Molecule: ribosomal RNA, 373 nt
Filed under: uncultured bacterium
Lineage: Bacteria
Description: bacterial SSU rRNA
Rfam family: Bacterial small subunit ribosomal RNA
Source: RNAcentral